RNAcentral lists this ribosomal RNA (490 nucleotides) under unidentified marine eubacterium. Its description in RNAcentral is "bacterial SSU rRNA". It matches the Rfam family "Bacterial small subunit ribosomal RNA", at positions 527 to 1018 of the family's 1533-position model. The record is from RNAcentral.
GGAGGGGGUUAGCGUUGUUCGGAAUUACUGGGCGUAAAGCGCGCGUAGGCGGAUUAGAAAGUUGGGGGUGAAAUCCCGGGGCUCAACCUCGGAACUGCCUCCAAAACUGCUAGUCUAGAGUUCGAGAGAGGUGAGUGGAAUUCCGAGUGUANAGGUGAAAUUCGUAGAUAUUCGGAGGAACACCAGUGGCGAAGGCGGCUCACUGGCUCGAUACUGACGCUGAGGUGCGAAAGUGUGGGGAGCAAACAGGAUUAGAUACCCUGGUAGUCCACACCGUAAACGAUGAAUGCCAGUCGUCGGGUAGUAUACUAUUCNGUGACACACCUAACGGAUUAAGCAUUCCGCCUGGGGANUACGGUCGCAAGAUUAAAACUCCAAGGAUUUGACGGGGGCCCGCACAAGCCGUGGAGCAUGUGGUUUAAUUCCAAGCAACGCCAAAAACUUACCACCUUUGACUCCCUGUUGCUACAUCCAGAAAUGGAUUGGUCCC